RNAcentral lists this long non-coding RNA (1160 nucleotides) under Nicotiana tabacum (common tobacco). RNAcentral's name for it is "long non-coding RNA (NTAB_LNC009231)". Lineage: Eukaryota; Viridiplantae; Streptophyta; Magnoliopsida; Solanales; Solanaceae. The record is from RNAcentral.
UUCAACCAACCACAAUAUAAACGUAGUUGAACAAAUAGAGAAAUCCAAUGGCUCAAUUAUAUAAAACCAUAAUAAGAAUUUAUCUUACAAAAGGUUCUAUCAAAACUCUAGAUAACAAAUUAGCUAUUCAUAAUAGUAUGCAUAACUACAAUACUAGAAUUCAUAACCAAUAAUGGAAAUAAGAAGAAGGAAGUGAAAAACUCGUAGAAGAAUUCUCCGCCUUGCUCCUAGUGUGUUCUUGCAUCCUUAGGUUGAAUCUCCGGUCUAAUGUCGGUCUCUCGGUCUGUCCAAUCCCCCUCAAAAGUGGCGUUUUUAGGUCUAUUUAUAUGUGUAGGAAAAUACCUAAACGUGUAGGCAAAGUCCUAGUCAAACCCGGAGAUGAAGUAAGUCUUCAAAACUCGGACUGUGCGCCCCCAGACCUGGACGCGCGAGGCCUAACGCCUGGUAGACCUCGCCCCAGGCCUGGCGUCGCCAGGUAUAAAGCCUGGUCAAUCUCGCUUCUGCCUCGCCUCGCCGGGUCUAUCGCCCGCUACAUGCCUGGCGUCGCCAGGUAUAAGGCCUGCUCUAGGCCUGGCUUCGCCAGCUAUAACACCUGGUGUAGGCCUGGCUUCACCAGCUUCUCCUUUUCAAUUGCUCUCGAGCACGCUUUCGACUUUUAAGUAUCCCCUUUUCUCUACUUUCAUCUCCAAUUUACCUACAUAUAAAAUGGCCUUCAAUACGGGCAAAUAAAGUAUAAUUUAUCAUUAAAGCGUAUAGAAUGCAAGGCGAAUAGUGUGCUAAACUAUGAAUUAUAGCCACACAUCAAGACACAUCAAAGAAAAUCACAUAAUUGCAGAGCAGAUUCAGAGCAAAUACAACCCAAAUUGACACAACCCAGAUAGACACAAAUUCAAACCACAAAUGGGAAAAAUCAAAAGGGAGUGCAAAUAACAAACCUGAGAUCUUUGGAGCAUCAAAAAGGACGAACUUGGUGGAACAAUGGUGAAAUCAUCGCCGGCGACAACCACCACAAAAGGGACGAUCAGUUGGAAUCACCUAGCCGAUUUCAAUGCUCACUUAGCUUAGCUUUUCAUUUCUAUCUGCUUUUCCUUUUAAGACCUUCUUGUCUUGUUAGACUUUUAUCCUUUUAUUAAUAAAAUAGCCACUAGGAGGUACACAAC